GCCGAAAUAGCUCAGUUGGGAGAGAGUUAGACUGAAGAUCUAAAGGUCCCCAGUUCAAUCCCGGGUUUCGGCA
Molecule: transfer RNA, 73 nt
Filed under: Hermetia illucens (black soldier fly)
Lineage: Eukaryota; Metazoa; Arthropoda; Insecta; Diptera; Stratiomyidae
Description: tRNA-Phe
Rfam family: tRNA
About the family: Transfer RNA (tRNA) molecules are approximately 80 nucleotides in length. Their secondary structure includes four short double-helical elements and three loops (D, anti-codon, and T loops). Further hydrogen bonds mediate the characteristic L-shaped molecular structure. tRNAs have two regions of fundamental functional importance: the anti-codon, which is responsible for specific mRNA codon recognition, and the 3' end, to which the tRNAs corresponding amino acid is attached (by aminoacyl-tRNA synthetases). tRNAs cope with the degeneracy of the genetic code in two manners: having more than one tRNA (with a specific anti-codon) for a particular amino acid; and 'wobble' base-pairing, i.e. permitting non-standard base-pairing at the 3rd anti-codon position.
Source: Rfam by way of RNAcentral